AAAACAAGAUAAAGGUAAAAUUUAUCUUUUUGAUCCUAAGAAUGUAAAUACUGAUAAUGCACAUGCACAUCUAUUUAAACUACAAAGAAAGUGAAAUGUUCAAUCAACUGUCAUCUAGAAUGUCUUUUAUUGUAUUGGAUUACCUGCUUUAUCUAGAAACCAAAAUUGUAAUUUUUCAUUGUUGUUCAUAAAGGUAUUGAGUGAAGAGGCUAUCAAGCAUACUAAGUGCAGAGUUACCUAAAAUGUAAGCACACAUAGUUGUAAAUCAUCAAUGAAAAUGAUUUAAUAAAGAACUUUAAAUCAUCUCUUUUUAUGGCCAUUUGUUAGUUAUUUCUCUCAAAUUUUCAAAUCUAAACAAGAACUGAUUUUUCAGCUUCUAUGGAAUAACCUUAAGCUAUCUUUCUUUAAAAAAAGUGAUCUUGUCUUUGAAACAUUGACUUUCCGGAAGACAUUCUUAUACUUUUAGAUCAUAUGACAUUAUUUGCUGGCAAAAAAAACUAGAGGCUCUUAAGAGCCUGUGU
RNAcentral lists this long non-coding RNA (521 nucleotides) under Mytilus galloprovincialis (Mediterranean mussel). Lineage: Eukaryota; Metazoa; Mollusca; Bivalvia; Mytilida; Mytilidae. The record is from RNAcentral.